Molecule: transfer RNA, 63 nt
Filed under: Perumytilus purpuratus
Lineage: Eukaryota; Metazoa; Mollusca; Bivalvia; Mytilida; Mytilidae
Description: tRNA-Ser
Source: RNAcentral
AGGUUGAUAUACUUGUUUGAUUUGAAAUCAUAUUAUAAGCAUGUAUUGGUGCUUGUCAACCUA